RNAcentral lists this ribosomal RNA (473 nucleotides) under uncultured bacterium. RNAcentral's name for it is "bacterial SSU rRNA". It matches the Rfam family "Bacterial small subunit ribosomal RNA", at positions 8 to 524 of the family's 1533-position model. The record is from RNAcentral.
AGAGUUUGAUCCUGGCUCAGGAUGAACGCUGGCGGUAUGCUUAACACGUGCAAGUCGGACGGGAAGUGGUGUUUCCAGUGGCAGACGGGUGAGUAACGCGUAAGAACCUGCCCUUGGGAGGGGAACAAUAGCUGGAAAUGACUGCUAAUACCCCAUAGGCUGAGGAGAAAAAGGGGGAAUCUGCCCAAGGAGGGGCUCGCGUCUGAUUAGUUAGUUGGUGAGGCAAUGGCUUACCAAGGCGACGAUCAGUAGCUGGUCUGAGAGGAUGAUCAACCACGCUGGGACUGAGACAUGGCCCAGACUCCUACGGGAGGAAGCAGUGGGGAAUUUUCUGCAAUGGGCGACAGCCUGAUGGAGCAAUGCCGCGUGAAGGCAAAAGGCCCACGAGUCAUGAACUUCUUUUCUCGGAGAAGAAAAAUGACGGUCUCUGAGGAAUAAGCAUCAGCUAAAUCUGUGCCAGCAGCCGCGGUAAU